UCCGGUGACUAUAGCGGGGAGGAUACACCUGUUCCCAUCUCGAACACAGUAGUUAAGCUCCUUAGCGCCGAUGAUACUUGGUGGGAAGCUGCCUGGGAAAGUAGGACGUUGCCGGUU
This 117-nucleotide ribosomal RNA is filed under the name Bacillota bacterium. RNAcentral also lists the same sequence under 1 other name. The record is from RNAcentral. Lineage: Bacteria; Bacillati; Bacillota.